GUGCUCGCUUUGGCAGCACAUAUUCUAAAAUUGGAACAAUACAGUGGAGACUAGCAUGGCCCCUGCGCAGGGAUGACGCCCAAAUUCAUGAAGUGUUCCAUAUAUUC
Jaculus jaculus (lesser Egyptian jerboa) is the source of this 107-nucleotide small nuclear RNA. NCBI's taxonomy places the organism in Eukaryota, Metazoa, Chordata, Mammalia, Rodentia, Dipodidae. The record is from RefSeq and is a predicted model, not a curated record.